Long non-coding RNA from Cyprinus carpio (common carp), 906 nucleotides. Lineage: Eukaryota; Metazoa; Chordata; Actinopteri; Cypriniformes; Cyprinidae. The record is from Ensembl.
AUGAGCUUCAUCUGGCUGCAGUGCUGUAUGGGACUUGCUCGGGAAGAAGGUCUCCAAAGAAGUGUGUUUUUGGUUGUAAGGGAAAGAUAACUUGUUCAGCUUCCUAAGGAACCCAGCGUUAUGUAAACGGCAGAUACAGUUGUUUUCCGGGGCAGCAAAGGAGUUUCACAAGUUUUGUUGUUGACGAAUGUUUUAUAAACAAGGCCCAGUUCGAUGCUGGAUUUGCACAUCGUUUGAUUCUGAAGAUGGAGCGGUCCCAGCUAUAAAAGAUCCUGGUCGUGAUUCAGAACUGCAGACGAGAAAUUGGACUGCACCUCCCUUUCCUGCCAGUUUGGUUGCCGUAUUGAAAGAGAUGGUGAAAUGGGCUUUUUGUGUCCUCCAGGGCUCCACUUGGCUUCAGAUAACAGAACCUGCAAAGGCUACUAGAAGGCACAGACCUGCUGGACCUACAGGAGUGUAAACUGGCAAAAACAUGAAGGCUGUAAUGAUAAUGUACAGGGGUGAAGAAUGAGGUCAGGAGAAGAGUUAAAAACCUUCAUGAAACCAUUUUUAUCUGGAAUUCCCAAAGACUCUUCAAAAACCGUGCCAGAAAACUGCAUAAAAGCUGCAUCUACAGGAGUAUUUACACCUAGUCACUUCAUGUGUUUUUACUAAAUAGAUUGCUAUUUGAUCAUGAAAACACAAGUGUAAAUGCCCUCUAAGACACAUUUUAGAUGGAGGUCCUGAGGAGGUUGUUUGAUGUGCAUACAAGAGGCAACUGAGCCACUUACGGAUCUGGUUGUUCAAGCUACAUGUAUAAACCUCUGAAAUGGAACUAGGCCAACUCCAAAAUCCACAUGUGAGGGUCUCUUUUCAUCAAGGGAAUGUGCAAACUGACACAAAUAAAAUAAAAUUAACAGCAUUGCA